ACUAGGAGGAGAUAAGACUGGUAGACUAGUGUCAGGUGAGUUACACUAGGAGGAGAUAAGACUGGUAGACUAGUGUCAGGUGAGUUACACUAGGAGGAGAUAAGAUAAGACUGGUAGACUAGUGUCAGGUGAGUUACACUAGGAGGAGAUAAGACUGGUAGACUAGUGUCAGGUGAGUUACACUAGGAGGAGAUAAGAUAAGACUGGUAGACAAGUGUGAGGUGAGUUACACUAGGAGGAGGUAAGACUGGUAGACUAGUGUCAGGUGAGUUACACUAGGAGGAGAUAAGACUGGUAGACUAGUGUCAGGUGAGUUACACUAGGAGGAGAUAAGACUGGUAGACUAGUGUGAGGUGAGUUACACUAGGAGGA
Oncorhynchus keta (chum salmon) is the source of this 372-nucleotide long non-coding RNA. RefSeq lists it as uncharacterized. The transcript has 3 exons. The record is from RefSeq and is a predicted model, not a curated record. NCBI's taxonomy places the organism in Eukaryota, Metazoa, Chordata, Actinopteri, Salmoniformes, Salmonidae.